RNAcentral lists this long non-coding RNA (1116 nucleotides) under Panax ginseng (ginseng). RNAcentral describes it as "long non-coding RNA (PGIN_LNC007684)". Lineage: Eukaryota; Viridiplantae; Streptophyta; Magnoliopsida; Apiales; Araliaceae. The record is from RNAcentral.
UAAAACUAAUUAAUACUCCCCAUAUAUAAAUAGAUAAUAUUCAAGUAACGAUAAGUACAAAAUUUGUUAUUGUAUCUCGAUAUUUCAAGGAUCAUAGUACUUACAAUAUGUAAUAACUAACAUAAGAAAACUGAAAGAAUAACAAUGAACUAGAAAAAAUGAAGUGUACAUCAUUUUAGGUCCACUUCAUUAUCAUUUUAUUAAUCAAGGAAAUCAAGGUUGGGCCUGCAAGCUUCCUGCUGUAAAAAAAACACCAAUAUUCAAUUUCAAUACGAUAAAGAAUAAGAAAAAAAUGAACCUCAACUAAUUAAUGAAAAUAUAAUACCUAUUAGUAAAUAUAAGAUAAUGACUUCAUGUUUAGUUGAUUUAAAACUUUUGACUUAUAUUAGUAACAGUAUGUCUUAGAUGUUGAACUCUAUGUAGUUGCCUUGGAAGAUCAUAGAGCUGACAUUACUAAUGACUCUGUGAAGUUAUGUGUUAGUAUUAAGUAUCAAUUCCAAUUCCAGUUCAAGUUGUGGAGUUUUAAGAAUGUGACAGAACGUACGGAUAAAAACUUAACCUUUUAAGUGCAUGUUCAGGUCAUUACCAUCAGAACUCUCUAUACAAAAGGCCAAAUAAUAUUUUAUAUAUAUAUAUAUAUAUAUAUAUAUAUAUAUAUAUAUAUAUAUAUAUAUAUGAUGGAGAGCCUAAUGCCUAAUGAUAAAAUUAAACCAUACGCAUGUGGGUUUUCUUAUUUGUCUUGGGAUAAUCCACAAUCACCGUGCCACCAUGGAGCUUGGCUGCCUCAUAACAAUUGACAAAUACAGCAUCCUUCUUGACUGUAGCAGGAACCGGAACAAUCACCUGAUAAACAUGGGGUUUUGAUGGUUGGUACUGACGCCUAUCCACAUAAAAUUGUUGUUGCUGAUGCUGCUUUUUGCCCCAUUGUGCAGCGUAUUCAAACAUGGCUAUGUCUUCAGACCCAAUCUUCAUAUGGUCUGACUCGCUUGGUGCCAUUUCUAAGUAGGUUAAAGCUAAUUAAGUCUACUUGUUUGCUUGUUUUGUUUGUUUGGUGCAUGUUGUUCUUUAACUUGAACCCCUUUAUACAUACAGAAAGCUUAGUGGAUAAGAGAGAAA